This 476-nucleotide ribosomal RNA is filed under the name Mycolicibacterium porcinum. Its description in RNAcentral is "bacterial SSU rRNA". It matches the Rfam family "Bacterial small subunit ribosomal RNA", at positions 31 to 521 of the family's 1533-position model. The record is from RNAcentral. Lineage: Bacteria; Bacillati; Actinomycetota; Actinomycetes; Mycobacteriales; Mycobacteriaceae.
GCAGAACGCUGGCGGCGUGCUUAACACAUGCAAGUCGAACGGAAAGGCCCUUCGGGGUACUCGAGUGGCGAACGGGUGAGUAACACGUGGGUGAUCUGCCCUGCACUUUGGGAUAAGCCUGGGAAACUGGGUCUAAUACCGAAUAGGACCGCGCUCUUCAUGGGGUGUGGUGGAAAGCUUUUGCGGUGUGGGAUGGGCCCGCGGCCUAUCAGCUUGUUGGUGGGGUAAUGGCCUACCAAGGCGACGACGGGUAGCCGGCCUGAGAGGGUGACCGGCCACACUGGGACUGAGAUACGGCCCAGACUCCUACGGGAGGCAGCAGUGGGGAAUAUUGCACAAUGGGCGCAAGCCUGAUGCAGCGACGCCGCGUGAGGGAUGACGGCCUUCGGGUUGUAAACCUCUUUCAGUAGGGACGAAGCGCAAGUGACGGUACCUAUAGAAGAAGGACCGGCCAACUACGUGCCAGCCGCCGGGGU